RNAcentral lists this ribosomal RNA (200 nucleotides) under uncultured bacterium. RNAcentral describes it as "partial 16S ribosomal RNA". It matches the Rfam family "Bacterial small subunit ribosomal RNA", at positions 524 to 716 of the family's 1533-position model. The record is from RNAcentral.
UACGUAGGGGUGCGAGCGUUGUCCGGAAUUACUGGGCGUAAAGAGCUCGUAGGUGGUUUGUCGCGUUGUCCGUGAAAUUCCCUGGCUUAACUGGGGGGCGUGCGGGGCGAUACGGGGCAGACUGGAGUACUGCAGGGGGAGACUGGAAUUCCCUGGUGUAGCGGUGGAAUGCGCAGAUAUCAGGGAGGAACACCGGUGGC